CGGAGUGGGGGUCCUUAGCGGCGUCGUCGCCGGGGCUGUGACCGUUGGCAGAGAGGGGUGAUCAAAAAAAUAAUAAAAAAAACAAGAAAAAAAAUAAAGAUAAAAACUUAUAGAAAAAGAAUGAUAAAGAUGAAAUUCCAUCGUUAACUGCAAAAAAAAUUAUAAGUUGCAUUACUUAAAAUGUAAACUGCAACUUUAAGAUGAAAAUUACACCUUUUGGGAGAUAUUUACACUGUUUUUUCUUCUUAUUGCACUCUUUCAGUUGUAAACUGCAUCCAUUAAGAUGAAAGUUACACUCUUUAAACGAAAGUUGCACUGUUUCUCCUCUUGUUGCAUCAUUUCUCCUCUUGCUAUACUGUUUUUUAUCUUAAACUGCACUCAUUUAAGAGAUAUUUAUACUGUUUCUUCUCUUGUUGCACUGUUUUUUUUCUUGUUACACCAUUUAUCCUCCUGUUAUACUAUUUUUUAUCUUAAGCUGCACCCAUUUAAGAGAUAUUUAUACUGUUUCUCCUCUUAUUGCACUGUUUCUUCUCUUGUUGUACAAUUUCUCCUCCUGUUACACUAUUUUUUAUCUUCAGCUGCACCCAUUUAAGAGAUAUUUAUACCGUUUUCCCUCUUGUUGCACUGUUUCUUCUCAUAGCACAAGAGGAGAAAUAAUGCAACAAGAGAAGAAACAGU
This 678-nucleotide long non-coding RNA is filed under the name Ananas comosus (pineapple). RNAcentral describes it as "long non-coding RNA (ACOM_LNC016637)". Lineage: Eukaryota; Viridiplantae; Streptophyta; Magnoliopsida; Poales; Bromeliaceae. The record is from RNAcentral.